Molecule: long non-coding RNA, 508 nt
Organism: Amphimedon queenslandica
Lineage: Eukaryota; Metazoa; Porifera; Demospongiae; Haplosclerida; Niphatidae
Exons: 5
Source: RefSeq, a predicted model, not a curated record
UCGCGUUAGCGCAAGCAUAACUGCAUUGUCUGUUGAGGUCCCAUCAAAUGCACUUGCUGAAAUAUCUGGCAAAUAUUGUGGGAACAGAAACACAUGCUAACAAACGUUGUGGAGAAUGGAAAGACAAAUACUUGCCAAUUAAUGAUAAAAGAAAUGCCUAAUUUGAAGAAUGAAUUACACUUAUUUUCAUAAUCAAGAAGCAGUGAGACCUUGUUUUAUGUACAUUCAAUUAUUCUAUUUUGUAUUUAUUAGGAUGUGUCAAGAUGAACUCAAACAAUGGAACAUUUUAUAUAAUUUCUGUACUUGUUGGAUGGGCUGAAGCAUUCAUAAUGUGUCUCCAUAUCUUGUUAUACCAAGCUUAGGACUGAUGUCAUCAUUAAGUCUUAGAUUCAAGCAAGUUCAAGUCGUAUUUACCUCUUCAUAUUUGAGUGAAAAGACAUCAAGAUCACAUUACAAACAUUGUUCUUUUUUAAUAAAAAUAAUUGUCAUAAAUUGUCUUACAAAUGCA